AUAAGCGCCGGUAAGGUGAUAUGAACCGUUAUAACCGGCGAUACCCGAAUGGGGAAACCCAGUGUGACUCGUCACACUAUCAUUAACUGAAUCCAUAGGUUAAUGAGGCGAACCGGGGGAACUGAAACAUCUAAGUACCCCGAGGAAAAGAAAUCAACCGAGAUUCCCCCAGUAGCGGCGAGCGAACGGGGAGGAGCCCAGAGCCUGAAUCAGCAUGUGUGUUAGUGGAAGCGUCUGGAAAGGCGCGCGAUACAGGGUGACA
This 262-nucleotide ribosomal RNA is filed under the name Salmonella enterica subsp. enterica serovar Reading. RNAcentral describes it as "partial 23S ribosomal RNA". It matches the Rfam family "Bacterial large subunit ribosomal RNA", at positions 71 to 369 of the family's 2925-position model. Lineage: Bacteria; Pseudomonadati; Pseudomonadota; Gammaproteobacteria; Enterobacterales; Enterobacteriaceae. The record is from RNAcentral.